This 451-nucleotide ribosomal RNA is filed under the name uncultured bacterium. RNAcentral's name for it is "bacterial SSU rRNA". It matches the Rfam family "Bacterial small subunit ribosomal RNA", at positions 328 to 794 of the family's 1533-position model. The record is from RNAcentral.
GAACCAGACUCCUACGGGAGGCAGCAGUGGGGAAUAUUGGGCAAUGGGCGCAAGCCUGACCCAGCAACGCCGCGUGAAGGAAGAAGGCUUUCGGGUCGUAAACUUCUUUUGUCAGGGACGAAGCAAGUGACGGUACCUGACGAAUAAGCCACGGCUAACUCCGUGCCAGCAGCCGCGGUAAUACGGAGGAUGCGAGCGUUAUCCGGAUUUAUUGGGUUUAAAGGGUGCGUAGGCGGAUCGUUAAGUCAGUGGUAAAAUGGGGGGGCUCAACCCCGCCCCGCCAUUGAAACUGGCGCUCUUGAGUGGAAGAGAAGUAUGCGGAAUGCGUGGUGUAGCGGUGAAAUGCAUAGAUAUCACGCAGAACCCCGAUUGCGAAGGCAGCAUGCCGGCUUCCGACUGACGCUGAAGCACGAAAGCGUGGGGAUCGAACAGGAUUAGAUACCCUCGUAGG